AUUGAACGCUGGCGGCAGGCCUAACACAUGCAAGUCGAGCGGAUGAAGGGAGCUUGCUCCUGUCUUCCGCGGCGGACGGGUGAGUAAUGCCUAGGAAUCUGCCUUGUCGUGGGGGAUAACGUCCGUAAACGGGCGCUAAUACCGCAUACGUCCUGAUGGAGAACGUGGGGGAUCUUCGGACCUCACGCUAUCAGAUGAGCCUAGGUCGGAUUAGCUAGUUGGUGGGGUAAAGGCCUACCAAGGCGACGAUCCGUAACUGGUCUGAGAGGAUGAUCAGUCACACUGGAACUGAGACACGGUCCAGACUCCUACGGGAGGCAGCAGUGGGGAAUAUUGGACAAUGGGCGAAAGCCUGAUCCAGCCAUGCCGCGUGUGUGAAGAAGGUCUUCGGAUUGUAAAGCACUUUAAGUUGGGAGGAAGGGCAGUAAGUUAAUACCUUGCUGUUUUGACGGUACCAACAGAAUAAGCACCGGCUAACUUCGUG
Molecule: ribosomal RNA, 484 nt
Filed under: uncultured bacterium
Lineage: Bacteria
Description: partial 16S ribosomal RNA
Rfam family: Bacterial small subunit ribosomal RNA
Source: RNAcentral